GACGAACGCUGGCGGCGUGCUUAACACAUGCAAGUCGAACGGAAAGGCCCUGCUUGCAGGGUACUCGAGUGGCGAACGGGUGAGUAACACGUGGGUGAUCUGCCCUGCACUUCGGGAUAAGCCUGGGAAACUGGGUCUAAUACCGGAUAGGAGCCAUUUUUAGUGUGAUGGUUGGAAAGUUUUUUCGGUGUAGGAUGAGCUCGCGGCCUAUCAGCUUGCUGGUGGGGUAAUGGCCUACCAAGGCGGCGACGGGUAGCCGGCCUGAGAGGGUGGACGGCCACAUUGGGACUGAGAUACGGCCCAGACUCCUACGGGAGGCAGCAGUGGGGAAUAUUGCACAAUGGGCGCAAGCCUGAUGCAGCGACGCCGCGGGGGGGAUGACGGCCUUCGGGUUGUAAACUCCUUUCGCUAGGGACGAAGCUUUUUGUGACGGUACCUAGAGAAGAAGCACCGGCUAACUACGUG
This 465-nucleotide ribosomal RNA is filed under the name uncultured bacterium. RNAcentral describes it as "partial 16S ribosomal RNA". It matches the Rfam family "Bacterial small subunit ribosomal RNA", at positions 28 to 507 of the family's 1533-position model. The record is from RNAcentral.